This 499-nucleotide ribosomal RNA is filed under the name uncultured bacterium. Its description in RNAcentral is "bacterial SSU rRNA". It matches the Rfam family "Bacterial small subunit ribosomal RNA", at positions 29 to 521 of the family's 1533-position model. The record is from RNAcentral.
AUUGAACGCUGGCGGCAUGCGUAACACAUGCAAGUCGAACGGUGUUUGGUGCUUGCACCAGACAUAGUGGCGGACGGGUGAGUAAUGCGUAGGAAUCUGUCUUAGAGAGGGGGACAACCCGAGGAAACUUGGGCUAAAACCGCAUAUUCUCGAGAGAGGAAAGCAGGGGACCGGAAACGGCCUUGUGCUCUAAGGUGAGCCUACGUCGGAUUAGCUAGUUGGUAGGGUAAAAGCCUACCAAGGCGAUGAUCUGUAGCUGGUCUGAGAGGACGGACAGCCACACUGGGACUGAGACACGGCCCAGACUCCUACGGGAGGCAGCAGUGGGGAAUAUUGGACAAUGGGGGGAACCCGUGAUCCAGCGAUGCCGCGUGUGUGAAGAAGGCCUGCGGGUUGUAAAGCACUUUCAGUGGGAAAGAGAAGCGUCUUGUGAAUAAUGGGACGUGGAGACGUUACUCACAGAAGAAGCACCGGCUAACUCUGUGCCAGCAGCCGCGGU